This 253-nucleotide ribosomal RNA is filed under the name uncultured prokaryote. Its description in RNAcentral is "partial 16S ribosomal RNA". It matches the Rfam family "Bacterial small subunit ribosomal RNA", at positions 525 to 777 of the family's 1533-position model. The record is from RNAcentral.
ACGUAGGUGGCGAGCGUUAUCCGGAUUCAUUGGGCGUAAAGAGCUUGUAGGCGGCGUCAUAAGUUGGACGUGAAAACUCCGGGCUUAACCCGGAAAGGUCAGCCGAUACUGCGGGGCUAGAGUGCAGAAGGGGCAACUGGAAUUCUCGGUGUAGCGGUGAAAUGCGUAGAUAUCGAGAGGAACACCUGCGGCGAAGGCGGGUUGCUGGGCUGACACUGACGCUGAACUGCGAAAGCUAGGGGAGCGAACGGGA